CCCCUCCCAGGGUCUCACCUGGAGAGUUUCCAGUACUCUACCAGGCUCGGCUAAGGGAGGAAGAGUCAAGCAGAGGCCUAACCAUUCCAUUCCUAUCUUGGGCAGUGGCUAGGGAGUGGAAGGCAAUCUGCUACAAGU
This 138-nucleotide small nucleolar RNA is filed under the name Ornithorhynchus anatinus (platypus). Lineage: Eukaryota; Metazoa; Chordata; Mammalia; Monotremata; Ornithorhynchidae. The record is from RNAcentral.